Molecule: ribosomal RNA, 582 nt
Filed under: uncultured Actinomycetes bacterium
Lineage: Bacteria; Bacillati; Actinomycetota; Actinomycetes
Description: bacterial SSU rRNA
Rfam family: Bacterial small subunit ribosomal RNA
Source: RNAcentral
AUUAGAUACCCUGGUAGUCCACGCCGUAAACGGUGGGUGCUAGUUGUGGGUCACAUUCCACGUGAUCCGUGACGAAGUUAACACAUUAAGCACCCCGCCUGGGGAGUACGGUCGCAAGACUAAAACUCAAAGGAAUUGACGGGGGCCCGCACAAGCGGCGGAGCAUGCGGAUUAAUUCGAUGCAACGCGAAGAACCUUACCAAGGCUUGACAUAUACAGGAAAAGCGUAGAAAUACGCUCCCCGCAAGGUCUGUAUACAGGUGGUGCAUGGUUGUCGUCAGCUCGUGUCGUGAGAUGUUGGGUUAAGUCCCGCAACGAGCGCAACCCUCGUCCUAUGUUGCCAGCACGUAAUGGUGGGAACUCAUGGGAGACUGCCGGGGUCAACUCGGAGGAAGGUGGGGAUGACGUCAAAUCAUCAUGCCCCUUAUGUCUUGGGCUUCACGCAUGCUACAAUGGCCAGUACAAAGGGCUGCGAUACCGCAAGGUGGAGCGAAUCCCAUAAAGCUGGUCUCAGUUCGGAUUGAGGUCUGCAACUCGACCUCAUGAAGUCGGAGUCGCUAGUAAUCGUAGAUCAGCAACGCU